RNAcentral lists this ribosomal RNA (253 nucleotides) under uncultured bacterium. RNAcentral describes it as "partial 16S ribosomal RNA". It matches the Rfam family "Bacterial small subunit ribosomal RNA", at positions 524 to 776 of the family's 1533-position model. The record is from RNAcentral.
UACAGAGGUGGCAAGCGUUGUUCGGAAUUACUGGGCGUAAAGCGUGCGCAGGCGGUUAUGCAAGACAGAUGUGAAAUCCCCGGGCUCAACCUGGGAACUGCAUUUGUGACUGCAUGGCUGGAGUGCGGCAGAGGGGGAUGGAAUUCCGCGUGUAGCAGUGAAAUGCGUAGAUAUGCGGAGGAACACCGAUGGCGAAGGCAAUCCCCUGGGCCUGCACUGACGCUCAUGCACGAAAGCGUGGGGAGCAAACAGG